AAAAAUGUAAAGAUAUUAUUACCAAUUUUCAGAUUUUUGACAGAAGUACAAUGGCAACAACGAGAAUCAGAAGAAAGAAAAAAAGUCAUAAACAUCAACUCGACCUAAUCUAGAAGGAACCGACACAACAAGCAAAACUGCUACUCAGAGGCCCCAACCAGUCCGCACUAACAUCUUGCCGCAAAUGGAAGAGCCACAGUUAUUUCGAAAGACAGAACCCGGUAAUUUUGGGCUCCCCGAUGAUCCGCUCUUUAUGAUCUGACUCUUCGAAGAACAUCUCGCUGCAGACGUCCUGAGUAUCCACCAACAUGAACAGACAGCCUCACCAGAGGUCAAGCACACCCACAUCGACCAGACUGAGUGUUAUUUGACGGAAAUAGCCUCCGAGGAUGGCCACACGACAAGAACAAUACCAAAAAGACAGAGAGAUCAGCACCACCAAUAAAGGUGUACAUGAGGCAUCCCAAGAUCAAACCUCUGAAGCGGACCGGCUCCAUACGCGUCGCCACCGAGUAGGAGAGUCGUGGUUGACAAGACCAACUUCUAACCUCCUCACGCGCACCCACAAUGGAGAACCCGCAGGGUAUCUUUUGAACCAGACUUGACGCAUCCCCAAAAGAGCUAUCCAUGAUUAUUCAUAUAUACACAAAGAACCUGAAAUAGAAAGAAAACGGGCUGGUGUUUCAAAAAAAAAAAGAAAGAAAACGGGCCAGAGAGAGCCGCUGAAUACUGCCCGGACUGAGCUCAAAGGACAUGCACAAAAGAGAUUAGAGAGGCAGCACAACCAUAGCUAUCAAAGACAGAUAUAGCUCCUGGGAAAUGCUUUCCCUCCGUACAGUACCACCAAGGAGACGCAAAGUUCACUGACCACCCGAACCCGCCAACUCCAAUGCUGUACGCUCUCAGCGAGAACCGAAGAGGAGUAAUCGAUUGUUGUCCAAUUGCUAAAACCAGUGGUAACGGAAACAGCCUCAGAGAAGAACACACCAACUCAAACCACCUAGAGCUUGUCGACUAAGCUCUGAAAAUGGUGUCUGAAGCAGAUUCCGGGAAGCGAACAACCAGAUGAAAGGGAGGCCAGUAAUAUCGCACGAGACUGCCCCAGACGACAGCGACGAUCCACGACACCACAAGCUACCACGCGCCAGCACCUGUAGACCCAACACACGCCGGCGUCGAAGGCUGAGCACACUCUUGAGAAAAUCGAAACUCCAAGACUUUCAAGUUGUCGACUUUAGAGGAGGCAUUUCAUCGAGACACCAUGACGAAACCACCAACCAAUACUCGACUCCACUCCACGACAAACCAGACGUAAUGGAUCUUCGAACCCACAGCCCAGAUCUGAAACGAAAGCCUAGUGUCUUCCUCCACGCGCCGCUAACACUACCAGUGGAAACAAAGUAAAAUCACCCACCAGCAAACCUUAAACGCCGACUCCAGCAAUCGCAAAACCCUCCACCUCCGUGCCGAGCCUCCAAAACCAGUAGAACAGAGCCGGACGUGUCUCCUCACACGAGAAACCCACGCCGGAAACUCUCCAGAGACAGAGAGCUCGAGCAAGACAAAGGGAAGGAGAUGAGACGAUGAUGAAGCAAAUCGAAAAAGAGAGGGGAAAAGGAGACGCACGGUGCCUCCGGCGCCGGAACGCGCUCUCACACGCGGCCGGACGCCGGAGCGUUAUCAAUUUCGCUUAAGAGAGUCUCGAGAGAUGAGAUGAGAGAGAAGCUGAGGUUUCAAGUUUUUUCUCGGACUGUGAC
Molecule: long non-coding RNA, 1757 nt
Filed under: Brassica napus (rape)
Lineage: Eukaryota; Viridiplantae; Streptophyta; Magnoliopsida; Brassicales; Brassicaceae
Description: long non-coding RNA (BNAP_LNC013655)
Source: RNAcentral